RNAcentral lists this ribosomal RNA (588 nucleotides) under Escherichia coli. RNAcentral's name for it is "partial 23S ribosomal RNA". It matches the Rfam family "Bacterial large subunit ribosomal RNA", at positions 778 to 1362 of the family's 2925-position model. Lineage: Bacteria; Pseudomonadati; Pseudomonadota; Gammaproteobacteria; Enterobacterales; Enterobacteriaceae. The record is from RNAcentral.
ACCGACUAAUGUUGAAAAAUUAGCGGAUGACUUGUGGCUGGGGGUGAAAGGCCAAUCAAACCGGGAGAUAGCUGGUUCUCCCCGAAAGCUAUUUAGGUAGCGCCUCGUGAAUUCAUCUCCGGGGGUAGAGCACUGUUUCGGCAAGGGGGUCAUCCCGACUUACCAACCCGAUGCAAACUGCGAAUACCGGAGAAUGUUAUCACGGGAGACACACGGCGGGUGCUAACGUCCGUCGUGAAGAGGGAAACAACCCAGACCGCCAGCUAAGGUCCCAAAGUCAUGGUUAAGUGGGAAACGAUGUGGGAAGGCCCAGACAGCCAGGAUGUUGGCUUAGAAGCAGCCAUCAUUUAAAGAAAGCGUAAUAGCUCACUGGUCGAGUCGGCCUGCGCGGAAGAUGUAACGGGGCUAAACCAUGCACCGAAGCUGCGGCAGCGACGCUUAUGCGUUGUUGGGUAGGGGAGCGUUCUGUAAGCCUGUGAAGGUGUGCUGUGAGGCAUGCUGGAGGUAUCAGAAGUGCGAAUGCUGACAUAAGUAACGAUAAAGCGGGUGAAAAGCCCGCUCGCCGGAAGACCAAGGGUUCCUGUCCAA